AAUGGGUCAGCGACUUAUAUUCUGUAGCAAGGUUAACCGUAUAGGGGAGCCGGAGGGAAACCGAGUCUUAAUUGGGCGUUAAGUUGCAGGGUAUAGACCCGAAACCCGGUGAUCUAGCCAUGGGCAGGUUGAAGGUUGGGUAACACUAACUGGAGGACCGAACCGACUAAUGUUGAAAAAUUAGCGGAUGACCUGUGGCUGGGGGUGAAAGGCCAAUCAAACCGGGAGAUAGCUGGUUCUCCCCGAAAGCUAUUUAGGUAGCGCCUCGUGAAUUCAUCUCCGGGGGUAGAGCACUGUUUCGGCUAGGGGGCCAUCCCGGCUUACCAACCCGAUGCAAACUGCGAAUACCGGAGAAUGUUAUCACGGGAGACACACGGCGGGUGCUAACGUCCGUCGUGAAGAGGGAAACAACCCAGACCGCCAGCUAAGGUCCCAAAGUCAUGGUUAAGUGGGAAACGAUGUGGGAAGGCCCAGACAGCCAGGAUGUUGGCUUAGAAGCAGCCAUCAUUUAAAGAAAGCGUAAUAGCUCACUGGUCGAGUCGGCCUGCGCGGAAGAUGUAACGGGGCUAAACCAUGCACCGAAGCUGCGGCAGCGAACGUAUCACCCAAGACAACUUUACGGAGUUGACGAUUGACGGAGCGAAGCGACGUCAAAGCGUUCAUUAAAGUCGAGUUGGCUUAGGGAUACGUUCGUUGGGUAGGGGAGCGUUCUGUAAGCCUGUGAAGGUGUGUCGUGAGGCAUGCUGGAGGUAUCAGAAGUGCGAAUGCUGACAUAAGUAACGAUAAAGCGGGUGAAAAGCCCGCUCGCCGGAAGACCAAGGGUUCCUGUCCAACGUUAAUCGGGGCAGGGUGAGUCGACCCCUAAGGCGAGGCCGAAAGGCGUAGUCGAUGGGAAACGGGUUAAUAUUCCCGUACUUGGUGUUACUGCGAAGGGGGGACGGAGAAGGCUAUGUUGGCCGGGCGACGGUUGUCCCGGUUUAAGCGUGUAGGUGUGUGUUCCAGGUAAAUCCGGUUCACUUUAACACUGAGGCGUGACGACGAGGCACUACGGUGCUGAAGCAACAAAUGCCCUGCUUCCAGGAAAAGCCUCUAAGCAUCAGGUAACAUCAAAUCGUACCCCAAACCGACACAGGUGGUCAGGUAGAGAAUACCAAGGCGCUUGAGAGAACUCGGGUGAAGGAACUAGGCAAAAUGGUGCCGUAACUUCGGGAGAAGGCACGCUGACACGUAGGUGAAGUGAUUUACUCAUGGAGCUGAAGUCAGUCGAAGAUACCAGCUGGCUGCAACUGUUUAUUAAAAACACAGCACUGUGCAAACACGAAAGUGGACGUAUACGGUGUGACGCCUGCCCGGUGCCGGAAGGUUAAUUGAUGGGGUCAGCGCAAGCGAAGCUCCUGAUCGAAGCCCCGGUAAACGGCGGCCGUAACUAUAACGGUCCUAAGGUAGCGAAAUUCCUUGUCGGGUAAGUUCCGACCUGCACGAAUGGCGUAAUGAUGGCCAGGCUGUCUCCACCCGAGACUCAGUGAAAUUGAACUCGCUGUGAAGAUGCAGUGUACCCGCGGCAAGACGGAAAGACCCCGUGAACCUUUACUAUAGCUUGACACUGAACAUUGAGCCUUGAUGUGUAGGAUAGGUGGGAGGCUUUGAAGUGUGGACGCCAGUCUGCAUGGAGCCGACCUUGAAAUACCACCCUUUAAUGUUU
RNAcentral lists this ribosomal RNA (1702 nucleotides) under Salmonella enterica. Its description in RNAcentral is "partial 23S ribosomal RNA". It matches the Rfam family "Bacterial large subunit ribosomal RNA", at positions 614 to 2215 of the family's 2925-position model. Lineage: Bacteria; Pseudomonadati; Pseudomonadota; Gammaproteobacteria; Enterobacterales; Enterobacteriaceae. The record is from RNAcentral.